This 72-nucleotide transfer RNA is filed under the name Ovis aries (sheep). It matches the Rfam family "tRNA". From Rfam's summary of the family: Transfer RNA (tRNA) molecules are approximately 80 nucleotides in length. Their secondary structure includes four short double-helical elements and three loops (D, anti-codon, and T loops). Lineage: Eukaryota; Metazoa; Chordata; Mammalia; Artiodactyla; Bovidae. The record is from Rfam by way of RNAcentral.
UCCCUGGUGGCUCAGAGGUUAGAGUGUCUGCCUCCAAUGCGGGAGACCUGGGUUCGAUCCCUGGGUUGGGAA